UACGGGGGGGGUAAGCGUUGCUCGGAAUCACUGGGCGUAAAGGGCGCGUAGGCGGCCAUUCAAGUCAGAGGUGAAAGCCCAAGGCUCAACCUUGGAACUGCCUUUGAUACUGUUUGGCUUGAGACCGGUAGAGGUAAGUGGAACUGCGAGUGUAGAGGUGAAAUUCGUAGAUAUUCGCAAGAACACCAGUGGCGAAGGCGGCUUACUGGACCGGUUCUGACGCUGAGGCGCAAAAGCGUGGGGAGCAAACAGG
Molecule: ribosomal RNA, 253 nt
Filed under: uncultured bacterium
Lineage: Bacteria
Description: partial 16S ribosomal RNA
Rfam family: Bacterial small subunit ribosomal RNA
Source: RNAcentral